Pelobates cultripes (western spadefoot toad) is the source of this 1025-nucleotide non-coding RNA. NCBI's taxonomy places the organism in Eukaryota, Metazoa, Chordata, Amphibia, Anura, Pelobatidae. The record is from the annotation of a GenBank genome assembly.
AUCCCGUUCUAAAAUUGCGGUCUCGCAGUGCCGGUGCUCUGCCUUCUUGAAAGUGCGUUUCUUGGAGAAACACUAUUGACGCCCUGUAGUGUUUCAGAUCCCGCAGAAGUCUUGUGCGUUUCUCUCUGACGUUUAAGCCGUGUACAUUAUAUGAGAGAAUGGUUAGGUCUUCCCUGGCGUAACCGCCAGGACCUGGGUCCGGCAUCCUCCGGACGGCCACAGGGGUGGGUGAGUCUGUUGCGUGGUUCGGUUGGGAAGUGUGUGAGUGUGUGGUGGUGUGUUGCUGAGUGUGUAGUUGGUGUUGCGUCUAUUCACGACACCUAUAUGGCCUCUGUAUUACAGUAGGGUAAUGGACAAUCGUCCCAGGUAUUCGACCGCGUAGCCCGGCCUGCGAGAGGGGGCUGGUCUAUUCCGGGAGUAGUGUAUCCCCUGAUAGGUGGGGAUCCCUAUGUCUUAUGCCUGUGGGGGAAUCGGGCUUACCGUCUGCGACGGCUCAGUCCGCUUCUGAGUUCCUAGAAGGUCUACGUGUAUGUAUUAGUACUGUGCGCAGUCCUUAGUCUGUCUCCUGGGUGGCUAUUUACUCGGAGCGCCCGCUCCGUUUCUUAGUUUGUCGAUUAUGGGUUCGAUUAUGAGUGUGUGUCUCGUCUGUUUGCAUCUGAGCUGUUACUUUUUGUCCGUCAUCUGCUCACGUGUGUGUUUUGGAUUGUUUGGAGCCAGCUUGGAAUGGGUCUCGCUAUUUCGCGAGGUGGGGACGCUGUGGUAUGGGGUGCCUCGUGGGUCGAAUCGGGCCUGUGGGGUUCCUUUGUUCGGGUUAGUCCUUUGUUUUGGGUGGAGCUUUGAGUCUCUGGUCUAAGGUUUGUCUGCCGUCUCCGCACUGUCUAGGGCCGCGGUGGGUGUUGGUGAUGUCUGGGGGAGGGCACCUCCGUCGUCUAGUCGCCUGUAGUAACUAUUUCGUCGUCAUUUAUUAGCCUUGGACAGGUCCUAAGACCUGAGUGGCUCUGGAUCCGCCUGGAGGCUGGCUCGAG